CCCAAAUUUAGCCUUAUACUAUUUUAUAAGUUUAACAGUCUUAAAUUUAUUUAAUAAAACAUUUUAACUCCUUAAGUAAAGGCGAUUGAAAAAGCUCUAAGCGCUAUAGAAACAGUACCGCAAGGGAAAAAUGAAAUAAUAAUGAAAUAAUUAAAGCUACUUACAGCAGAGCAUUUACCUCGUACCUUUUGCAUCAUGGCCUAGCAAGACUUAACAAGCAAAACGAAAUUUAAGUUUUAAAUCCCGAACCUAGGCGAGCUACUUUAAAACAGCCUUUUGGGCCAACCCGUCUCUGUAGCAACAUAGUGGGAAGAUUUUUAAGUAGAAGUGAAAAGCCUAUCGAGCCUAGAAAUAGCUGGUUAUUCAUGAAAAGAAUAUAAGUUCUGCCUUAAGUUUCCCUCAUGAUCCCUAACAACAUUUUAAACUUAAGAGUUAUUUAAAUAAGGAACAGCUUAUUUAAGACAGGAUACAACCUAAACAAUAGGGUAAAAUCUCAAUUAUUCCCAAGUGGGCCUGAAAGCAGCCACCUUUUAAAAAGCGUCAAAGCUUAACCUUAACCCCUAAAAUACCAUUAACCUUUAUGAACCCCUAAUUUAUAAUGAAUGACUCCAUAUAAUUAUGGAAGACACCAUGCUAGGAUUAGUAACAAGAAUUUAUAAUUCUCCAAAAUGCAAACAUAAACCAAUAUGGAUAACCCAUUGGUAAUUACCGAACCUGAACUUACUGCAAUAACAUCUACAAGAAAACCCUGCAGUGUUUACUCGUUAACCUAACACCAGCGCAUUUCAGGAAAGAUUAAUAAAAAGAGAAGGAAUUCGGCAAAUGACGACCCCGCCUGUUUACCAAAAACAUCGCCUCUUGACUUGUAAAUAAGAGGUCCAGCCUGCCCAGUGAAUUUUUAACGGCCGCGGUAUCCUAACCGCGCGAAGGUAGCAUAAUCACUUGUUCUUUAAAUGGGGACUCGUAUCAACGGCAUCACGAGGGUUUUACUGUCUCCUCUUUUUGAUCAGUGAAAUUGAUCUUCCCGUGAAGAAGCGGGAAUACUUAUAUAAGACGAGAAGACCCCAUGGAGCUUUAAACCAACUAGCAACUUAACCAUAUAUUGCCUAAUAAUUUUAAGCCCGUGCUACAAGGUUUUUGGUUGGGGUGACCGCGGAGUAAAGCACAUCCUCCACGACGGAAAGACUAUAAUCUUUAUUUAAGAACUACAAUUCCAGAAAUUAGUAUACUAACGUUUACUGACCCGACAAUCGAUCAACGGAACAAGUUACCCUGGGGAUAACAGCGCAAUCUACUUCAAGAGCCCAUAUCGACAAGUAGGCUUACGACCUCGAUGUUGGAUCAGGGUAUCCCAGUGGUGCAGCCGCUACUGAAGGUUCGUUUGUUCAACGAUUAAAACCCUACGUGAUCUGAGUUCAGACCGGAGUAAUCCAGGUCGGUUUCUAUCUAUAAAGAGUUAUUUCUAGUACGAAAGGACCGAAGUAACAUGGCCACUGCAUCUCCAAGCCAUUUAUCCUACUAAUGCCGGCAACUUAAUUAGCUAGUGCCUAUUUAAUUAUUAUAGCCUAUGAUUU
Molecule: ribosomal RNA, 1574 nt
Filed under: Polypedates braueri (Java treefrog)
Lineage: Eukaryota; Metazoa; Chordata; Amphibia; Anura; Rhacophoridae
Description: 16S ribosomal RNA
Rfam family: Bacterial large subunit ribosomal RNA
Source: RNAcentral